This is a non-coding RNA of Gossypium arboreum, 145 nucleotides long. NCBI's taxonomy places the organism in Eukaryota, Viridiplantae, Streptophyta, Magnoliopsida, Malvales, Malvaceae. The record is from Rfam.
UAUUAAAAAAUUCAUUUAUUUGUACUAUUAAAAACUAGCUUGAUUGAUAGAAUAACCAAAAAGUAGCACGUGACAUAACAUGUGUACCUCAUGCCAAUAUACAGAGAUUAAUUUUUAACAGCAGAAAUGGAUGAAAUUUUUAACA